UGAUGGAGAGUUUGAUCCUGGCUCAGGGACAACGCUGGCGGCGUGCCUAAUGCAUGCAAGUCGGACGGGAGCCGCGCAAGCGGUCGACCGUGGCGGACGGGUGCGGAACACGUGGGGAACCUGCCCGCACGCGGGGGACAACCCUGGGAAACUGGGGCUAAGACCCCAUAGGCUCGCGUGGCGGUAGGCUAGGCGAGCAAAGGCCGGGAGGCCGCGUGCGGAGGGCCCUGCGGCCUAUCAGCUAGACGGUGGGGUAACGGCCCACCGUGGCGAUGACGGGUCGCUGGUCUGAGAGGACGGCCAGCCACACGGGGACUGAGACACGGCCCCGACUCCUACGGGAGGCAGCAGCAGGGAAUCUUCCGCAAUGGGCGCAAGCCUGACGGAGCGACGCCGCGUGGAGGAUGACGCCCUUCGGGGUGUAAACUCCUGUUCGGGGGGACGAAGGGAGUGACGGUACCCCCGGAGCAAGCCCCGGCUAACUACGUGCCAGCAGCCGCGGUAACACGUAGGGGGCGAGCGUUGCCCGGAAUCACUGGGCGUAAAGGGCGCGUAGGCGGCCUGGCGCGCCGCUCGUGAAAGCCCCCGGCUCAACCGGGGAGGGUCGGGCGGGACGGCCGGGCUCGAGGGCGGGAGAGGCGGGUGGAAUUCCCGGUGUAGCGGUGAAAUGCGUAGAGAUCGGGAGGAACACCGGUGGCGAAGGCGGCCCGCUGGCCCGCUGCUGACGCUGAGGCGCGAAGGCGUGGGGAGCGAACCGGAUUAGAUACCCGGGUAGUCCACGCAGUAAACGCUGUGGGCGAGGUGUGGGUGGUGUUGACCCCAUCCGUGCCGGCGCGAACGCAGUAAGCCCACCGCCUGGGGAGUACGGCCGCAAGGCUAAAACUCAAAGGAAUUGACGGGGGCCCGCACAAGCAGCGGAGCGUGUGGUUUAAUUCGACGCAACGCGCAGAACCUUACCAGGGCUUGACAUGCCCCGGGACCUGGCUGAAAGGCUGGGGUGCCCUUCGGGGAGCCGGGGCACCGGUGCUGCAUGGCUGUCGUCAGCUCGUGCCGUGAGGUGUUGGGUUAAGUCCCGCAACGAGCGCAACCCUCGGGGCCAGUUACGCGGGGUGUCUGGCCCGACUGCCGGGCGCAACCCGGAGGAAGGGGGGG
Molecule: ribosomal RNA, 1152 nt
Filed under: Thermalbibacter longus
Lineage: Bacteria; Pseudomonadati; Thermomicrobiota; Thermomicrobia; Thermomicrobiales; Thermomicrobiaceae
Description: bacterial SSU rRNA
Rfam family: Bacterial small subunit ribosomal RNA
Source: RNAcentral